This 465-nucleotide ribosomal RNA is filed under the name Vreelandella stevensii. RNAcentral's name for it is "partial 16S ribosomal RNA". It matches the Rfam family "Bacterial small subunit ribosomal RNA", at positions 338 to 795 of the family's 1533-position model. The record is from RNAcentral. Lineage: Bacteria; Pseudomonadati; Pseudomonadota; Gammaproteobacteria; Oceanospirillales; Halomonadaceae.
CCUACGGGGGGCUGCAGCGGGGAAUAUUGGACAAUGGGGGCAACCCUGAUCCAGCCAUGCCGCGUGUGUGAAGAAGGCCCUCGGGUUGUAAAGCACUUUCAGUGAGGAAGAACGCCUGGUGGUUAAUACCCAUCAGGAAAGACAUCACUCACAGAAGAAGCACCGGCUAACUCCGUGCCAGCAGCCGCGGUAAUACGGAGGGUGCGAGCGUUAAUCGGAAUUACUGGGCGUAAAGCGCGCGUAGGUGACUUGAUAAGCCGGUUGUGAAAGCCCCGGGCUCAACCUGGGAACGGCAUCCGGAACUGUCAAGCUAGAGUGCAGGAGAGGAAGGUAGAAUUCACGGUGUAGCGGUGAAAUGCGUAGAGAUCGGGAGGAAUACCAGUGGCGAAGGCGGCCUUCUGGACUGACACUGACACUGAGGUGCGAAAGCUUGGGUAGCAAACAGGAUUAGAGACCCCUGUAGUC